GCGGACGGCUCAGUAACACGUAGUCAACCUAACUCGUGGACGUGGAUAACCCCGGGAAACUGAGAAUAAACCACGAUAGAUCAUAGUGCCUGGAAUGGCUUAUGGUCCAAACAGUUUACUGCCAUGGGAUGGGACUGCGGCCUAUCAGCUUGUUGGUGAGGUAAUGGCCCACCAAGGCGAUUACAGGUACGGGCUCUGAGAGGAGAAGCCCGGAGAUGGGUACUGAGACACGGACCCAGGCCCUAUGGGGCGCAGCAGGCGAGAAACCUUAGCAAUGUGCGAAAGCACGACUGGGUCAGUCCGAGUGAUUCCUGAUAAAGGAGUCUUUUGCUUGUCCUAAAAGCACAGGUGAAUAAGGGGUGGGCAAGUCUGGUGUCAGCCGCCGCGGUAAUACCAGCACCUCGAGUGGUCAGGACGUUUAUUGGGCCUAAAGCAUCCGUAGCCGGCUUUGCAAGUCUUCGGUUAAAUCCACCUGCUCAACAGAUGGGCCGCUGGAGAUACUACAGAGCUAGGGAGUGGGAGAGGCAGACGGUAUUCAGUGGGUAGGGGUAAAAUCCUCUGAUCCAUUGAGGACCACCAGUGGCGAAGGCGGUCUGCCAGAACACGUUCGACGGUGAGGGAUGAAAGCUGGGGGAGCAAACCGGAUUAGAUACCCGGGUAGUCCCAGCUGUAAACGAUGCAAACUCGGUGAUGCAUUGGCUUAUGGCCA
This 709-nucleotide ribosomal RNA is filed under the name uncultured archaeon. RNAcentral describes it as "bacterial SSU rRNA". It matches the Rfam family "Archaeal small subunit ribosomal RNA", at positions 81 to 792 of the family's 1478-position model. The record is from RNAcentral.